AACGAACGCUGGCGGCAUGCCUAACACAUGCAAGUCGAACGAGACCUUCGGGUCUAGUGGCGCACGGGUGCGUAACGCGUGGGAACCUGCCCUUAGGUUCGGAAUAACUCCCCGAAAGGGGUGCUAAUACCGGAUAAUGUCUUCGGACCAAAGAUUUAUCGCCUUUGGAUGGGCCCGCGUUGGAUUAGCUAGUUGGUAGGGUAAAAGCCUACCAAGGCGACGAUCCAUAGCUGGUCUGAGAGGAUGAUCAGCCACACUGGGACUGAGACACGCCCCAGCCGCCUCCGGGGGGCAGCAGUGGGGAAUAUUGACCAAUGGGCCAAGCCCGGUUCCCGCAAUGCCGGUUGGAGGAUAAAGGCCUUAGGUUUUUAAGCCUCUUUUCCCCGGGAUGAUAAUGACAAUCCCGGGGGAAAAGACCCCGGCUAACCCCGU
Molecule: ribosomal RNA, 432 nt
Filed under: uncultured bacterium
Lineage: Bacteria
Description: partial 16S ribosomal RNA
Rfam family: Bacterial small subunit ribosomal RNA
Source: RNAcentral